UACGUAGGUGGCAAGCGUUAUCCGGAAUUAUUGGGCGUAAAGGGUGCGUAGGCGGUUUAUUAAGUCUAUGGUGAAAGUGCGGGGCUCAACCCCGUAUGGCCAUAGAAACUGGUAGACUUGAGUGCAGGAGAGGGCAAUGGAAUUCCAUGUGUAGCGGUAAAAUGCGUAGAUAUAUGGAGGAACACCAGUGGCGAAGGCGGUUGCCUGGCCUGUAACUGACGCUGAAGCACGAAAGCGUGGGGAGCAAAUAGG
Molecule: ribosomal RNA, 252 nt
Filed under: uncultured bacterium
Lineage: Bacteria
Also listed under: 2 other names
Description: partial 16S ribosomal RNA
Rfam family: Bacterial small subunit ribosomal RNA
Source: RNAcentral